Long non-coding RNA from Gorilla gorilla gorilla (western lowland gorilla), 515 nucleotides. RefSeq lists it as uncharacterized. NCBI's taxonomy places the organism in Eukaryota, Metazoa, Chordata, Mammalia, Primates, Hominidae. The record is from RefSeq and is a predicted model, not a curated record. The transcript is spliced from 3 exons.
GUCUCCAAAUGGCCAAAUGGCUUAAAUUCCCUUGCCUGUUUUGUGAAUAUUGUGUUCUCCUUCCUCAGUAUUAGCCUCAUAGGUAUCAUCUCUUCUUUUCUCAUCAUCCUCCAAUCUGGUAAAUCUCCCUAAACUACCUAGAUUAAUCGCCACAUUGCCUAAACCAAAGACCUCUGUAGUAAGUCGUGAAGAAAUCUAACUCAAAUACUCAGUUUGGAGAAUUAGAAGAAGUACAAGGAGAGAGACAGAAGCACAUCAUGGGACACCAGAAUGGCAAGAAGCAUCCUACCAGCCUCAUGGGAGGGACUCAACUUCAAUGCAUGCUUUCCAUUUGAAUGGGAGCGGUUGGGCGGCUGGAGGCCACUGUGAGUCUGAGGAUGGAGGCAAGAUGUGAAGAUGCUGGAAUGAGAAACGGGAAGGGAGUAGUAAGAGGUCAUCUAUCUGUCAGCUGUAUGACUUAUCCUUCUGCUUUUAUGCUUUGAAAGAUCUUCUCCACCCACCCCCAGGAAGUUUGG